Mastomys coucha (southern multimammate mouse) is the source of this 366-nucleotide RNA transcript. It is a transcript of the gene named PHD finger-like domain-containing protein 5A pseudogene, with no coding region annotated. The record is from RefSeq and is a predicted model, not a curated record. The transcript has a single exon. Lineage: Eukaryota; Metazoa; Chordata; Mammalia; Rodentia; Muridae.
UGGAAAUGAGUUAUGGCUACACAUUAUCCCGAUUUGAUUUUCUGCCGUAAGCAGGCUGGUGUUGCUAUUGGAAGACUGCGUGAAAAAUGUGACGGCAAAUACGUGAUCUACGACUCGUUUGUGCAUCCCUGCACCCUGGUUCGCAUUUGUGAUGAGUGUAACCAUGGAUCUUACCAGAGCUGGUGUGUGAUCUGUGGAGGUCCCGGAGUCUCUGAUGCCUACUACUGUAAAGGGUGCACCAUUCAGGAGAAGGAUAGAGACGGUUGCCCAAAGAUUGUCAGUUUGGGGAGCUCUAAGACAGACCUGUUCUAUGAUGGGUGGGUGGCUCCUUCCUCCCCCAUCAAGUUGCUGCAGCUGCCAGAAUAG